CACUUCUAACAUGGUAUCAGAGCUAUGGUUAGAGCCUAUCCUAGCGAUAUUUGUUGGACAGAUUGUUCCACCCGCUAUUGGGCCGUUAUCGGACCACCCAUUAAUAUCUAGUCUCACGCUCGAUAUGUAUAUACAUCGGCGUGAGGGGGGUGUGUUGGAAGUCCCACAUCGGAUAGAGAUAAGGCUAAUUUAUAAUAUAUAAGUGGG
Molecule: long non-coding RNA, 207 nt
Filed under: Vigna radiata
Lineage: Eukaryota; Viridiplantae; Streptophyta; Magnoliopsida; Fabales; Fabaceae
Description: long non-coding RNA (VRAD_LNC012358)
Source: RNAcentral